GAUGAAGAACGUAGCGAAAUGCGAUACGUAAUGUGAAUUGCAAAUUCAGUGAAUCAUCGAGUCUUUGAACGCACAUUGCGCCCCCUGGUAUUCCGGGGGGCAUGCCUGUCCGAGCGUCAUUGCUGCCCUCAAGCACGGCUUGUGUGUUGGGCCCCGUCCUCCGAUCCCGGGGGACGGGCCCGAAAGGCAGCGGCGGCACCGCGUCCGGUCCUCGAGCGUAUGGGGCUUUGUCACCCGCUCUGUAGGCCCGGCCGGCGCUUGCCGAUCAACCCAAAUUUUUUAUCCAGGUUGACCUCGGAUCAGGUAGGGCUACCCGCUGAACUUAAGCAUAUCAAUAAGCGGAGGA
RNAcentral lists this unclassified non-coding RNA (346 nucleotides) under soil metagenome. RNAcentral's name for it is "partial contains 5.8S ribosomal RNA, internal transcribed spacer 2, and large subunit ribosomal RNA". The stretch from base 1 to 119 matches the Rfam family "5.8S ribosomal RNA", at positions 35 to 154 of the family's 154-position model. The record is from RNAcentral.